UUGAAAAUUUUGGAUGAAUAGUAAAUCUGAAUUUGAAAUCUCACAAAUCUCAAGCUUAUCAUUUGACAAAGAACCCAAAAAUAGCUCCAAGGAUCAAUUUUCACUGAAGAUCAACCAUCCAUUGUGAAGAAAUACAAUUUUUUAAAAUUGGGCAAAACCUAGGCCAAAAUGUUUAAUCUCUCAAAUCCAUAUAAUUUCUUGCUUUUUUCUCAAGUGUGAUCUACCUAGUCGACAAAUCAGGUAAAAAUAAGUUUGUACUCCAAAAAUGGGCUCAAAAUCAUAUCCCCAGUCCUCAAAAAAUUGAAGAAAAGGGAAAACGAUGGUGGAUUUUCAAACCACUCCCUCCUCCUCCCCCCCAAAAUAAAAAAUAAAAAAACGGUCCUCGUUCUUUUAAGGAAAAAGUUUAUAUAAAUGUGAGGCUCGAAACAAUCAAAAUUAGGGCGCAUCUCAAAUUUUUCACUAGAAGAGGUUGUUUCGAUGCCCAAAUAUCCUCAAAUUGAUCAUCUCGACCUCAAGAUGCAUGGACAAUGAGACAAAAAUGGAUUUCAAGUUUUGGAAAUAGUGCAUCUUGUAAUGCAUUUUUGGACCGCCAAUUUUCAAGAUUUUCGAGUUUUCAUAGACCUGCUCGAUCUACACUAUUAUUUAAGUUUUAAAUUUUAUAAUUAGAGAUGAAAAUAUAUUUUAAGACUAUCACAAAGAUUUCCAGUAUUGAAACCACAUUUCUCGAUACUAUUUGAAGGUGUUGCAUUACUUUGAUUGUUUAGAGCUUGUGCUCUAUACAAACCGCACCCUUCUUUUAAAUAGCUCUUUUACAAUAUUUGGGUGAGCAUUACAUAAAGGAAAAAGUUUAUAUAAGGUUGCAACCUUAAAAUGUAGAAUUACAGAUGCACCUCAAAAAUCCAUCGGAAAAUAUUGUUUUAAUGUUCAAAAACCCUCUAAUUGAUCAUCUUGACAUCAAGAUAUAUGAAUAUGAAAAAAAAAAAAGAUUUUGAGUCCUAAAAAUAGUGCAUCUUACAACACAUUAUCUAGACCGUCCAUUUUCAAGAUUUUCAUAUAUUUAUAGAUCUACUUGAUUUUAGUCAUUUUUGGAGUUUAAAUUUUUAUAAUUAGAUACAAAAAUGGAUUUUAAGAUAAUCCUAUGGAUUUUUUAUAUCAAAAUUACAUGUUAUGAUAAAAUUUGGAGGUGUGCCUUAAUUGGAUUGUUUAAGGUUGUGCAACCUUAUAGAAACCACACCCUUACACAAAACUCAGCAAGUCACCCAAGUUUAAUAGUAUAAGGUUGAGUCUCUAAAGUACCAGCCCAAGUACCUGUAAGGUACAUAUAUCUGCCCUGUUCCAGAUCUGAGUCACCUUGAGGAAGUUGAAAGGUAUUGUCUUAAAGAGAAGGUUCUUCCUAUAAAAAAUUUCUAUGAUGGCGGCAACAAAAUCCUCAACAUGAUCAGAAUUGAGGCUAGCAAUAGUAUAGCACAGAAGACAAAGAUUAAGAGGAUGAAAAUUUUGCUGGUUUGCUUUCAGUGACAUAACAUUAGCUAUUAUUUCUGAUAGUACCAUCUAACAUAACCAAGAUUUGUGUCCAUGCAAUGCUAGGUAAGUGACAUGGAGCUCCUGUCUCAAUCAUUGAGAUUGAGGAUAGUAUCCCAUGCUUACCCAAAUAACUAUUAAAUUAAAAAAAAAAUGAAAGAUAUGAGAUUUGCGCCUCCUUCCUAAAUGCAGACUUAUAUAACCAUACAAAAUUAUGGAUUGACUUAGAAAGCUCUGCUCUGAGGCGUCCCUGCAUCCAAUCCCCUGCCUCCCCUUACCUUCUGCAUCAACAAUUCAACAAACACCUCCAGAACCUAUUACAAACUCAAUUAGACCCAUGAUCCCACUAAAGACCCUUCGUUACCUAUAAACAUUUUAUUUAUUCUUUUCAAGUGUUAAUGGUGGCAAUGGAGCCUAAGAGGUUAUGUUGAGGAUCUGCCCCCCUAACCACCAUGGCCGGACCUCAUUCCCCUAUAUCUCUUAGGUGUGGCAUCAAACUUCCCGCAGCACAUCAAAUCAGACUGAAGAAACCAACAAGCUUUUCCUUCCACAAACCUCUAAAAAUUGGUUUAUCUAUUUCCCCUCCUAUUGUUGCAUAGAAGGUCCCAAACUUGAAGCAUUCUUUGAUUUGACAAGGAACCCCAUGCGACCUCUUCCACAUCCAACAUCUAAACCAUGACAAUAACAAGCAGUGAACCAUCAAAAACAAAAAGAAAAUCCCCAUCAAUUGCCUAGAGAAUAAUCAAUUUCAUAUGGGGAAAAGAUCCCGAUGUAGGAAAACAACAUCGGCCAUUUCCACCACUAAUGCAGGUGGUACACCCCAUCUAUUCAGAACUCUCCAGCAAACAACCCAAGGUAAACAGAUAUCUGGCACCAAGAAGGCAACAACCCCAUGAUGAUCCCCAUUCACUAAUCCAACCACUCAAAUCAUGCUGGACAUUGUCUGCUACUCUGCUACCUGAUAGUACACAUGCCAUUCCUGGGGCUUUUUUGUUAGUAGAUAAUGGAGUAGCUGCUAUAUUUUAUAUAUGUACAUUCAUUCAGAUAUGAAAAGGCAAGAACAAAAAGGGCAAAAAAAGAAUGAGAAAAAAAUACGAGGUAAUACUUACAGUCAACAAUGACAUGAGAAGAGCCCAGUUCACAGUCCUUGUGAGAAACCUGCAUCAAUGCAUAUAUAGAGUUGCUGAAUAAAUAGCAAUGAUUCAUACUUGAGUGGUCCAUGAAAAACAAUUUGCAUUUAACUUACUAUUGUCAGGUAAAUGAAUCCUCAACUAUCCAUCAUUGACACCAAACAGUUGAGAUGUAAAAUUACUCCACUCAAGUCCAUAAAGCAAAACUUAGAAGACUUCAGUGGAGUAUAACUUGACCAUUCAUUGUUGAAAAUGGGCAAUGGACAGUAUGAGGAUAAAUUUACCAUAUUAACUGAAUGGUAAAUGCUAUCAUAGGAUAUCUAAGAAAAAAUUCUACCAAACUUAACUUUUCAUAGUUCCUAGCAAUAUUACCUUACAUAGUUAAAGGGGCAAGAAAACACACUUACAUAGUAAAAUGAGAAAUAGAUUCAAAGUAAUAAAAUAGUAAACAAUUAGGAGCACUUAUAUAAGUGCUCCCCCAGGAGCAUACCAUACAUUUACUCCCUUGGGUAAAAUAAAUACUAGGGAGAUUUUUAUUUUUUUUUCGAAAUUUUAGGAUCCAUCUAAUUCCAACUAGAUUAUUUUCGAAGGAAAAAAAUUUUGAAUAUUGAGUUAUUGAACAUCUAGAUCAUUCCCAAAUUAGAUGGUUCUAAUGCAAUCUUGGGAUGCCAAAUUUCCUUUUGACAUACAGAGAAUGAGAGUUAAAUUUUCUUUUUUCUUUGAGGUUGGUCGGGUUCUAGAGAUCACAUCCAUAAAAUUUGGAAUCUCAAAAAUAUUCCUAGUUUAAAUUUUGAUUUGAUUCAUGCACAAGCUCACUGGCAAGGACUAACAAGAAAUUGGUACUAUCCAGGUGCUUUUUCACCACCAAGGAUCUCUUUCCAAUAAGCCAAAGCAAAUUGUUUUUCAAAUAACUCAUACAAAUCAACGAUAUCAAAUAACUCAUACAAAUCAACGACAUAGGAUAGUAAUCAAAUUCCCAUGAGAAAGUUCUUCACAUUUUUUUGAACUUACUUAAUCCCAACCGGCGCACCAAAAACGAUAGCUCCAAAAGCAUUGACAAGAGCCCCUGCACAAUAAAUUUUGCACUUCUAUAAUUUACCUCAAAAAUAACAAUCACACAAAUAAGUUUAUAGAUAGCAAAAACGCUGUAAAUUUAAUAAGUAAUAAGCAACUUAAUCAGAAACCUUUAGAAGUAAUACAGAAGCAUACAACACCCAGAGAGAGGCAAAGAAGAAGAGGAGGGGUGAUUAAUUAAAGGUCUCACCAGCAGGGAGGCCUAAGAGUCCACGCAAGAUUGCCCAUUUCAACUGUUACAUAGAAUCGCAUUAUCAAUUUACCAUGCCUUCCUAAAUUUUUCUUUUUUUUUUACAUACAUUCACAUAUGAAACAAAGCCAGGCAGAUUCAUAUGGAUAUAGCUUCAUACCGAGCAAUGCUCCAGUUUUUUAGAAAGCAGACUAAAACCCAAUAUCACGAUGGGGCUCUCAAAUAACUGCAAAACCAUUUCACAGACACGAUAAUAUGAGAAACUUUAACGAAAAUUGCUAAAUUUCUAGACUACUAGGGUGAGAGAAAAUGUCUAAGGUGGGGCCAAUUAUAAGAGGAGAUAGUUACCCACAAGAUACAGAUGGUUUGCAGAGGGUGGGUGGUGAGAGUCCAGCCAUUAAUAAUCUGAGCAAAAAGGAGAGAUGCCCAAACACUAAGGCCAUUGAUCAAAUGAAACCCUAACUCCAUUAAUGGAGACAACUGAAAUACAUAUGGAGUUCCUUUUUCUGAUGCCAUGGAUAUGAAGGUUCAUGAAACAAUAUAUCCUGAUACAAUCAUGGAGAAAUGAUUCUUGUUAUUUUAUGGUACACAGAAGAGGGAAACUCAAAACAUGGUAGGAAAUUCUUGAAAGAUCAUUAUAAGGCACUAAGGCCACUGAAAUUUAUUGCAAAAAUAUUACAUUUGAUCUGAUCAAUUUUAGGGCAUAUAUCUUAUUGAAAUGUCUCAAAAUGCCACAAGACAAACCUUGAAGCUGUAUAUAAAUUAACAAAAUGAUGAGAACAUGUGAAAAAUAACCGAGAUUUUAAAUAGAGAGGGAGAGAGAGAGAAACUGCACUGUUCUUACUUAAUUAAUAUGCCCAAAAGUUGCAUGAAUUAGCAGGUAGUCAGGAAGAGAGACGCAUGCAGAUUCCUGGAGGGAAGAUCAAAAGGUUCUAAGAGGAAUAAUAGCCUAAAUUUAAGAGAGAGAGAGAGGCUUGGAAGCUUGAAUAAGAAGAUUUGUUGGAAAAAUGACAUUUUACCGGUGGGUUUGAUAAAAGAGUGGAGGUAACAAGUGGGGUGAAGCUCUGAGGGACUAUGGAUACACAAUGGACUACAGAGUAGGAAGGGCAAGAAACAGGGGUGACGCUACUUACUUAGUGUCCCUUUGCAUUUAAAGAUACAGAAUUUUGUCACAUAUACCUAGAUGGCAGAUAUAAAGAUAAUAGAAGCACAUACGAGAAAACUUAGGAGACUCACAAAUAUGUAAUCCUCCAAACUGUCUCUUCAGCGGUUACUAUCUCCAAACUGUCUCUUCAGCUGUUACUAUCUCUCUCUCUUCACUCCACCCAAAGCCAAACAGUUGGCAGAGUUGUUUCAUGCAGGACAAUGACCCAUCUAACACUUUCAGUCUAUUUCUUGGCCUAGUUUAUCCCCUUCCAAAAAAGAAAAAAAACCAAACAAAAAAAAAAACUACCCAUAUUUAGCUCUCAUUGAGUUCCCCAAAUCAUUCCAUGUAUCUUCACGGAAAGUCCCCCGGCCCUCUACCUUGCCCAACCUUACUAAGCAUAAGCUCAACAGAGUAGUCAUCCUGAUGGGCGGUCCCAUCAUGGCUUCUCUUCUCAGGGUGAAGGAAGAUGGUGGGGAUCCAUACCUAAAGAUUUUCAUAUGUAUGAUAAGAUAGAAACAGAUUGGAAAUUCAAAGAAGGCAUGGCCUUAACAAGUCAAGUUAUGGAAUUCCAAAAAGUUCAAAUAUGGACAGAUUGAAGAAGUCCGAUAGCUGUCGACUAGCAAAUAUCUUACAUAACUUUAGGGAAGCACUCUUGAACAAAAUUUAAACUGAGCAAAGAAGAACCACAGAAAUGACACACUGGAAACUUGGACCUAUUGCCCAAGAAUCUAUUCUUUGGAAGCACUAUCUAUUAUAGCAAGUAAACCCCACAAUGACAACACAGGAAAGAAGAAGAAGAUGAACUUUGAACUUGAAUACCGACGAGGGCUGUAAUACCUACAACAUCUCAAACCACUGAUCAUCCAAUUACAAGCAGUGAAAACAGUAAAUGUUCCAUGUUAAAAACAAUUCUACCCAUGGAAUUUCAUCUAAAAAGAAAAGGAACUUCUUCUUCCAAGCAGAGAGAGAAAGUGAAAUAACUCGAUUGUGAUUUCUGUGUUUAUAAUCCAUACAUGAUUUGUGAGCAAAUCCAUCUCCAAAUAAUGGGUUCAUAGAAAUUAGAGAGAAUUAUCAAGUAGUCAUCAUAUUCAGCAACAAAAGAAGAUGACAGCAGUAAACAUUUCAAUAAAAAAAACACAGUGGCAAUGGUGACACCAUAUUGCCCCAUGGACGUCCCAAAAAAUCAGUGAAAACAGUAAGGACUUCAUGUCAAGAACUAGUAUAACCCAUGGAAUUCCAAUCAACACUGAAAAAAACUAGUAGAAUCCAUAAAUGAUUUGUGAACAAAUCCAUAUCCAAAAAAUGACUUCAUAAAAAUCAGAGAAAAUCAUCAAGAGGUCAUCAAUUCAGCAACAAAAGAAGAUAAAGAAUAAUGGACAAGUUUCUUAAAUGCAGGCCUUCACUUAACGCUCAAUCCAUUUCGGGCUAUCUAAAGCUGCUUACCUUAGUAAGUUGAACUUUAGAACUAGUAACAAGUUUCUUAAAUUCUUUUUCAAACAAAUUUCUUAAAUGUUUUUCUCAAACUGGAGUUUUGGUAGGAAUUACUGCAAUGCCGUAUAUUCGUAGACAUGGAUAAACAUGCAUUCGAGAGUGUUUAUAGGUAUAUCUAAGAUAAAGGUUUGUGUGUUCUAGACUAUAGCGCUCACCGUCUUCACCUACUCAUACAUGUUUCUCAAGAUCACCAGUGCUGCAUUUUGGCCAAAUAUACUAUGCAUAAAACAUCUCAUCCAGCCAGCAAGACAAGCAAUUGCCCAAAACUCUGGUUACUUUCAAAAUAAUUUCAACUAAAAUAGCCAAAUUAUGAUUUUUUCCAAGGCAAUGAAGGAAGUAUGAAACUGAUGGUUUUUAUAAACAAAAAUUCAACCAAAGUAACAAACUCAUGGCUCAGUAAUGGCUCAUUCAUGAAUGCUUCAUGAAUGCCACCUAGCACUCCGAAAAAAGAGGGGAAACAAAGCAAACCCAUCUUGAGUUCUUGAAAGAAUUGCUCAAAAACUGUGGUAAUUUUCAAAGGGUAUAGAAUAGAUGAACGAAAGUAGCAAUAUUAGGGCCUCUUUUCAUUGACGAAGAAACAACAAUAAUGGGCCUCGCACUCUGAAAAAAGAAGGAAAAACAACGCAGACCCAUCUUCAGUUUCACACAGGACCGCUCAAAAUUAUGGUUCUUUUUCAAAGCAAUCCAACCAAAGCGGUAAUAUCAACAUACAUAGGGGCUGUUAUCAUAGAUAACCAAAGGAACCGUAUGGGCCCAGAGGGCUGCUAGAUAUGGACGGGAAGAAGAUAUUAACUUGAAUUACCGUUAAAAAAAAAACAAAGAUAUGAACUUGAAUUCUUCAGAAAAGCUCAACAGUCCCGAAAACGAUCCAAGGAAGAAGGGAUAAUAAAUAACAAUAAACCUAGCAGAAUAAAGCAAAACUUUUCAAUAAAAACUGAAACAAAUGCAAAUUUUUCUCUUGAAGUAAAGAUGUGAAUUGAAAACUUAGGGUUUAAUUAUCCAAAAAAAUGCACUUAUUAAGAAAUAUACCAGAUCCAGCUGCUAACUUUUUUUUUUAAGUUACAAAACAGUUAAUACAGAUUUUCUUUGUCUAAAGUUCAUAUAUUAUUUGUAAACAAAUUCUUUUCCAAAAAAUGCACAAACAAGAAAAAAAAAAAAGCAACAUUUCCACAAAUUUCAAGCAUCCACACCAUGAAAAUAUCAAUUAAGCACCAAUAUAACAACAACAAAAAAAUCAAGAGAUGGAAUAAACAAAUGCAAGUUUUUGCACAACCUAGGAUAACCUUGGAAAAGGCGCUGUAUAUUACCCUUUUUGCCCCUUUUCUCCCCCCCCUCUCAGUACUCAAUUGUUGCAGAGACUAUGGAGCUCAAUCCCUUUCCCUCCGUUCACAACUUCUCCAAAUCCUCUCAGCUUCUCACCCAUUUUUUCCUUUCAUUUUGUGCUCCAUUUUCUGCCCUUUUUCUUAAGAGACGAACCACCCUGGCACCCUUUUUCUUCAGAGGCGAACCACCAGUGCUUCUAGCGGUCCGGGUGGCAACGGAUCGGGUAUGCGGUCGGGACCCGGCCCGACCUGUCAGAUCCAAAAGUUGGACCAUACAUACCGACGACGCUGAAGGAGGCCUUCAAUUGCGGACGUGGAAGAGGAUACGCUAAAGUUUCGGAUCUAUCCCAUCGGUACUUGGUUUAGUUAGAGUCCAUUGCGACUUUCAUUAUUUUUUUAUUUUUUAUUUUUUAUUUUUAGUUUUUUUUUUUUUAAGACAUUAGAUUUUAAGCUAUUUGAUUUGUCAUUAAUGACUAAAUUUUUAUUAUAUACUAUCAUUGAUAAAUAUUCAACUGGUACAGUCGGGUCCAGGUUUUAGACCCAGGUACGACCCACCGGGUCUAAAUGUUGGACCCAUAUCUAGACCCAUAUGAAAUAUACCCGAUGGGUCCCGGUUUGGGUCUGGUCCAUUGACACCCAAAGCUCGAUGCUUGUUUUAACUGAGGCAUAAAUUUGGUAAGGUUGACGCCUUAAAUUAUUGAAGCAGGUGCAUCUCAAAAAUCCAUUGAAAAAGGCUAUUUUGACUUUAAAAUUAUAUUUAAUUGAUCAUCUCAAUAUCGAGAACAAUAUCGAGAUGAAUGAAUAUGUGUGAAAAAAAUUCAAGUCCCAAAAUAGAAUAUCUUGCAAUAAAGUAUUUGGACCAUUCAUUUUCAAGAUUUACAUGCAUUCAUAGAUAUGCUUGAACUAGUUUUAGAGUCUAAAAUUUUAUAAAUAGAGACUAUAAAAGAUUUUUGAGCCAUCUUAUAAACUUUGACACCAAAUUUGCAUCUCAUCACAAAGAAGGGACACCUUAAGGUUGCAACCUCAUGGAAACCUCACCCUUAACAAAACAAACCUCUAUAAAAAAAGAAGAGUGUGGUUUCUAUAAGGUUGCAACAUUAAACAAUCCAAUUAAGGCGCACCUCUAAAUUUUAUCAUAAGAAAUAAUUUUGGUGUAAAAGAUUAUUAGGAAUAUCUGAAAAUUUAUUUUCAUAUCUAAUUAUAAAAUUUUAAACUUGGUUAAAAUCAAGUAGAUCUAUAAAUAUAUGAAAAUCUUGAAAACGGACGGUCUAGAUAAUGUGUUGCAAGAUGCACUAUUUUUUGUGCUCAAAAUCUUAUUUUUUUUCACAUUCAUUAAUCUCGAUAUCGAGAUGAUCAAUUAUAGAGUUUUUCAACAUUAAAACGACCUUUUUUGAUGGAUUUUUUAGGUGCAUCUGUAAUUCUACAUUUUAAGGUUGCAACCUUAUA
Molecule: long non-coding RNA, 9321 nt
Filed under: Amborella trichopoda
Lineage: Eukaryota; Viridiplantae; Streptophyta; Magnoliopsida; Amborellales; Amborellaceae
Description: long non-coding RNA (ATRI_LNC000281)
Source: RNAcentral